RNAcentral lists this ribosomal RNA (157 nucleotides) under Clusia sp. JA 3616. RNAcentral's name for it is "5.8S ribosomal RNA". It matches the Rfam family "5.8S ribosomal RNA". From Rfam's summary of the family: 5.8S ribosomal RNA (5.8S rRNA) is a component of the large subunit of the eukaryotic ribosome. It is transcribed by RNA polymerase I as part of the 45S precursor that also contains 18S and 28S rRNA. Lineage: Eukaryota; Viridiplantae; Streptophyta; Magnoliopsida; Malpighiales; Clusiaceae. The record is from RNAcentral.
AAAAUGACUCUCGGCAACGGAUAUCUCGGCUCUCGCAUCGAUGAAGAACGUAGGGAAAUGCGAUACUUGGUGUGAAUUGCAGAAUCCCGUGAACCAUCGAGUCUUUGAACGCAAGUUGCGCCCAAAGCCUUUUGGUUGAGGGCACGUCUGCCUGGGU